RNAcentral lists this transfer RNA (74 nucleotides) under Phrynosoma platyrhinos (Desert horned lizard). RNAcentral's name for it is "tRNA-OTHER". Lineage: Eukaryota; Metazoa; Chordata; Lepidosauria; Squamata; Phrynosomatidae. The record is from RNAcentral.
GUCUCAGUGUGACAUAGUGGUUUGAGUAUUGGACUAUGACUCUAGAGAUCAGGGUUCGAUUCCUGGCUCAGACG